Molecule: long non-coding RNA, 611 nt
Filed under: Capsicum annuum
Lineage: Eukaryota; Viridiplantae; Streptophyta; Magnoliopsida; Solanales; Solanaceae
Description: long non-coding RNA (CANN_LNC003481)
Source: RNAcentral
CAGAAGGGUCAAGGCCUGCACCAUUGUCAGCAAAACCAAGUGGUGCUCCACUUCCUCCUCCUCCUCCACCUCCACCACCUCCCAGGCCAUCAGCCAAUGUAGCAGCACCCCUCCCCCCACCUUCUCCCAUGAAGAGAAAAGAAAUAACAUCUCCACCUCCACCUCCACCACCUCCCAUGACAUCAGGACAACGAGUGGCACCACCCCCACCCCUACCACCUCCAUUGGCAUCAGGAAAAGGGGUGGCACCUCCCCCACCCCCACCACCUCCAGUGACAUCAGGAAAAGGAGUGGCACCUCCCCCACGCCCACCACCUCCAGUGACAUCAGGGAAAGGAGUGGCACCCCCCCCACCCCCACCUUCCAUGGGAUCAAAGGCUAUAGCACCUGCACCCCCACCUCCACCAAUGACUUCAAAUGGAAGAAUGCCAGCACCACCUCCACCCAUGCCAAUGGGAAAAGGAGCUGCACCUCCACCACCACCAGGGUUUGCAGCUGCCAGGAACCUAGGACCUAGCAAAGCAGCCACUAAAUUGAAGAGAUCAUCACAAAUGGGAAGUCUUUAUCAACUUCUUAAGGGCAAAGUUGAAGGAUCCAGUUUAGAUGGUAAA